This is a long non-coding RNA of Manacus vitellinus (golden-collared manakin), 1040 nucleotides long. RefSeq lists it as uncharacterized. The record is from RefSeq and is a predicted model, not a curated record. NCBI's taxonomy places the organism in Eukaryota, Metazoa, Chordata, Aves, Passeriformes, Pipridae. The transcript is spliced from 2 exons.
UCACAUGCUGAAACUGCUCCCAGUUCUUCUCCCAAGGCUUCCACGGUAUCGUUGGUGAGAUGUCACCUUUUAUUAGCAGGCUCGCUCUCGGAUACUCUAAUGCACAUUGAAAACACAAAAUGCACAUCAUCCAUCUUUCAUGUGACAGCUGCAUCCCACCUUCUGAACUUCCAAGCUCCUGGCACACCUGGGUCAAGGCUCUGCUAAUAAAAUGAUGCCGAGUGACAGGGGGAGAGGGAGUCAACUGACUACAAGCAUUUGAUAAACUGUUACCUGCAAUUUCUUGCAUUUGUUGCCUCGGGCAAAGGCACUAAAGAGGAAACAAGUCACUGCAAGCCCCGUUUGUCCAACUGGUGGUUACUGUGGUCAAAAUCCAUGUUUGCAAAGGCAAAGGAGAAAGAGCUUUUCAGAGUUUCCAGAAGAACCCACAGACCUGAAUUUUUAUGUGCGGCAGAAGACACAGAAAAAAAGAUAGGAAUGUUCAACUUAGGCUCUUCUCUGGGAUCAGCAUCAUAUGGAAGAGAUAAAAAUAGAAGCUAAAAAAACCAGCAGUUGAUCCAGACUGAAACUGUCUUCUGCUCCUGGAACUAUUCCUGGCUCAGAGAGGAAAAGAGGGAGAAAAGAGAAGUGUCCCACCUUGGAGAUGACUCAAUGGAGAAGGGAGUAGAAUGCCACAUGGGCUCUCUGGUCCCAAGUGCCCGGGAGUUUGCCACACCUCAGGUGUUUAUAGGUGUGACUGUGGGGCUCACACAAACCCUUGCAGGCCUCUGCCAGUGGCUGCUGGAAACAGAAGCCAUCCCUUUUAGUCUCAGUCAUUCUGUAUGAGAAUGAACUAAGAUGCAUUCCACAAAGCACUUGAUAGAGAGGAAAACUCUUAGGUAGGAAAUUACUUCUCAGUACGCCACUUGAGAAUGUGGAAUUCCUGCUCAGCUUACAGUGUCCUCAGCAAAAAUUAGAGAUUGAGAGCACAAACAGAGUGAAACAGUCAAAGUGACCUCAAUACAGAGGAACAGAGUUAAAAAAAAAAAAAAAAGAAAAAA